AGUGAACGCUGGCGGUAGGCCUAACACAUGCAAGUCGAACGGCAGCACAGUAAGAGCUUGCUCUUACGGGUGGCGAGUGGCGGGCGGGUGAGGAAUACAUCGGAAUCUACUUUUUCGUGGGGGAUAACGUAGGGAAACUUACGCUAAUACCGCAUACGACCUACGGGUGAAAGCAGGGGAUCUUCGGACCUUGCGCGAUUGAAUGAGCCGAUGUCGGAUUAGCUAGUUGGCGGGGUAAAGGCCCACCAAGGCGACGAUCCGUAGCUGGUCUGAGAGGAUGAUCAGCCACACUGGAACUGAGACACGGUCCAGACUCCUACGGGAGGCAGCAGUGGGGAAUAUUGGACAAUGGGCGCAAGCCUGAUCCAGCGAUACCGCGUGGGUGAAGAAGGCCUUCGGGUUUUAAAGCCCUUUUGUUGGGAAAGAAAAGCAGCAGGUUAAUACCCCGCUGUUCUGACGGUACCCAACGAAUAAGCACCGGCUAACUUCGUG
RNAcentral lists this ribosomal RNA (492 nucleotides) under uncultured bacterium. RNAcentral describes it as "partial 16S ribosomal RNA". It matches the Rfam family "Bacterial small subunit ribosomal RNA", at positions 29 to 507 of the family's 1533-position model. The record is from RNAcentral.